RNAcentral lists this ribosomal RNA (408 nucleotides) under uncultured bacterium. Its description in RNAcentral is "bacterial SSU rRNA". It matches the Rfam family "Bacterial small subunit ribosomal RNA", at positions 354 to 776 of the family's 1533-position model. The record is from RNAcentral.
GUGGGGAAUAUUGCACAAUGGGGGAAACCCUGAUGCAGCAACGCCGCGUGAAGGAAGACGGUUUUCGGAUUGUAAACUUCUAUCAAUAGGGAAGAAAGAAAUGACGGUACCUAAAUAAGAAGCCCCGGCUAACUACGUGCCAGCAGCCGCGGUAAUACGUAGGGGGCAAGCGUUAUCCGGAAUUACUGGGUGUAAAGGGAGAGUAGGCGGCAAGGUAAGCGAUAUGUGAAAGCCUUAGGCUUAACCUGAGGAUUGCAUAACGAACUAUCUAGCUAGAGUACAGGAGAGGAAAGCGGAAUUCCUAGUGUAGCGGUGAAAUGCGUAGAUAUUAGGAAGAACACCAGUGGCGAAGGCGGCUUUCUGGACUGAAACUGACGCUGAGGCUCGAAAGCGUGGGGAGCGAACAGG